GGAUGUUACUGAGUGGACUCUACUUUUACACAAAGUUAUCAAGCAGAUGAGCCACAACUAAUACAGGUACAAUUGAUCAUGUUGCUCAUAGAAAAUCCAUAACUAAAAUCCAUAAUUGUAAAAACUAUUUCUGUCAUUCACAUGUCAGGUUCAAAAAUGAACUGUAAAGAAAUAUUACUAUCAAGUUUGGACACAUUAAAUGCCAAGAUUAUAAACUCGAUGACUCAAGUUUCCUCGGCCAGAAUAUUACAGAUUCUGUGGAAGUAGUACACCUUGAUGAGUUUCCUAUAAAUAUUCCAGGGACCAAAAGAAACUUUGAACUAGUCAGACAUGUUUCCUUGGUUGACUGUCCUGCCAUGAUAUUUUGAUGGCUACUUUGAUGAACGGUAUAGCAGUGAUGGAUGUGACCUUUCUGUUGAUAGCCGGCAAAGAAUCUUGUCCUCAACCUCAGACUCCUCUGAACACCUGGCUGCCAUAGAUAUUAUGAAGCUGAAACAUACUUUCAUUCUGUAAAAUAAAAUUAAUUUGGUAAAAGAAAGUAAGGCUAAAGAACAGUAUGAACAGAUCCUUUCAUUGUAUUAAUAUAAAGUAGAGUAGCAGAAGAGCCUCCUAUUAUUUUCAUUUCUGCUAAGCUGAAAUACAAUCUUGAAGUUGUCCGUGAGUAUAUAGCAAGGAAAAUUUCAGUACCUCCAAGAGACUUUACUUCAGAACCCCAACUUAUUGUUAUUAGGUCGUUUGAUGUUAACGAACCUGGCUGUGAUAUUGAUGAUAUUACCAGGGAGAACAACUGGUGGCAGUAUUUAAAAAGGUGUAUUAAAGGUGGUCCAGGAGACAGGAGUCAGACUUGGUAUUGUUCCCAAAAAUAGUGAAGGAAAACUCAUGUGUAAAACAAUCAUUUCCAAACUUGUAUCACUUUUUGCAGAAUACAAUGAUCCUCAGUACACUGCUCCAGGGAGUCUUACGGGAGUUGGAACAAAAAUUUACCCAACAUUCAUAGAAUGGCCGGGCAGGUGCUUGGUGCAGUUGGAGCUGUACCUAAGAUCGUCACAGGACCAGAAAUGUCCUAUUUACUGCUUAGACAGCUCUAGGUGUAUGUAUAGAAGAAGGCAAAAAAACAGAAAAAGUACAAAAGCUGUCCAUGAGCAAAGUUCUUAUAGUAAACAUACGAUCUCUGUCUACAGGAAGAAGAGAGUGCAGUCAAAGAUGAUUUGGGUAAAAUAGUUCUCACUAAUCCUGUGUGCACAAAAGUAGGAGAAAAAAAUUGCCCUUAGCCAAAGAGCUGAGAAACAUUAGCAUUUAAUUCGUUGGGAUCAGAUAGAAGAGGAGUGGCCAUGAAGCCAACAGUAGAUGAC
This 1352-nucleotide long non-coding RNA is filed under the name Homo sapiens (human). RNAcentral describes it as "non-protein coding lnc-ZGRF1-9:1". Lineage: Eukaryota; Metazoa; Chordata; Mammalia; Primates; Hominidae. The record is from RNAcentral.